GAAACACCGGUCCUUGUACAAUCACCGAAGUUAAGCAAUGUUGAGCCUGGUCAGUACCUAGAUAGGUAACUGCUUGAGAGUACCAGGUGGUGUAA
This is a non-coding RNA of Acanthosepion pharaonis, 95 nucleotides long. The record is from the annotation of a GenBank genome assembly. NCBI's taxonomy places the organism in Eukaryota, Metazoa, Mollusca, Cephalopoda, Sepiida, Sepiidae.